UGAAGGAAAUGUAUAUUGUCGAAUAUGUAUCUCAUCAUAUUUGACUACGCGAUUUAUUUGAGACUGUUUGAUUUUAAUGUUUGAAAUGUUUAACGAUGUUAGUUCUACGUAAAUCCUUCAUUUGACGGUUAGCGAUAGUCCAGAUGUUUCCGCGCAUUGAUACAAGAGAGGUCCUUCUCUUGUGUGUGGAAUUCAGUCAGUGCAGGGCGGCCAUUGUGAGGUCCCUAGAGGUGUACAGCAUGGCACAUGGGUCUGGUACAGACUGGAGGUCUCUGAAGUGUUCUCUACAAGUGUAGAUCACUAUAUCUACAGCGGGAUGCUGAGACAACACUACCCCACUACCUGCUCCUUGAUGAGAACAGUAGCAGCUGCAAUGUAUAUUCCAUACACCAAAAUAUAAACAUAGGUGACAGAGCAAAACUAUUGGCAAUGGCCUAACAUCCAGUUUACUCAGGUUCUGUUAGUCAGGUCUUAAAAUAUUACAGCUGUCCAGCCUCUUGGAAACCCAGACUUCGGGGACUGUGCCUCUGGUACAGUGGGGGCUGGUUCAGCUAAGUUAGAUGGGUUUGCUGGAUGUCAAGGCCACAAAUAAUAUUUCGUCUCUUUUGCUCUAGUUCCUGUUGUCACGGUCACGCUUGGUCGCCUUUCUGUUUGUCCUUAAGUACAACCUUGAGUUGCGGAAGAAUGUAACGCCAAGUCGGAUGCCAGCUAACAUUGUGCCAAUGGUGAGCUUAUUCGUCACCUCAUGUGUACAAAGAUUUAGAGUAUGACAGUGGAAUGCCUGCACUGAUUUUAGCAUUGACCAUGGCUUGUGUACUGUCUGCAGUCGUUAUUUCUAUCCUGCCCUUUAGGCCUAAGUCCACCAGGCAACCUUUGAUUUCAACUGCAAUAUUAUCCCCGGUCUAAGAAAGCUCUGUUCUCAGGGUUUGCAACACUCUUGCUCUCAACUCCCAGUUGACCAGGAAGUGUUAGGUAGUGAUCAGCCACUGUGGAUGUGAAUUCUGCGUAAUCAACAUGUUGCAGCUCAGCCUACUGGUUCAGAAGUGCUGAUGUACUGUACAUCUUUGAAUCUACCAGACACUUAUCUGUGUCGACUCACAGUCUUAAUGUAACAAUAAAUAAGAAAGUGCAUAAGGAGGGCUAAUUGAACUAAAAAUGAAGACUCUCGCUCAUAGUACAUUGAGGUAUAAAAUGAAGAAAUCUUAUUUCUAAAGUACGAAGGAAUUGCUUAAAAUGUAAUAUUAUGUUGGCUAUUCCUGUUGUAAAAUGCAUUAGGAGGCAGAGCCCCAGAAAGGACACUAACAUGCACACUUGCAAUUGCAUAUAACAAUGCCAACAAUGCAAUGUUCACUUUUUAAAAGUGAAAUAGGAAGAUAUCACUUUUGUUAGUCCUUCCACAUCAACCCCUGCCAGUUAUAUGUUUUCUGUCGCAUGUGUAUGAUGAAGUUGUUUGAAAUAAGGUCGUUUGAACAGCUGCGCGCCAUCAUGUGUUAUAUAUACACUCUAUAUGGCGGGUGACACUACACUUCAUGCAUCAGGGCUAUUUUUGUUUGUUGGAGUGUCAACUUGGGUUGAUCGAGGUCUUUUUCUAACACAGAAGACAUAAAUUCAUCCAUGUGGCCUGA
Molecule: long non-coding RNA, 1625 nt
Organism: Branchiostoma floridae (Florida lancelet)
Lineage: Eukaryota; Metazoa; Chordata; Leptocardii; Amphioxiformes; Branchiostomatidae
Exons: 2
Source: RefSeq, a predicted model, not a curated record